UUAAUUGAAGCCAAAAAGAGGCUUAUCACUGUUAAUGAUAGAACUGAGUAAUAACUCCAAUUAAA
This 65-nucleotide transfer RNA is filed under the name Goniophyto honshuensis. RNAcentral describes it as "tRNA-Asn". Lineage: Eukaryota; Metazoa; Arthropoda; Insecta; Diptera; Sarcophagidae. The record is from RNAcentral.